UUGGAGGGCAAGUCUGGUGCCAGCAGCCGCGGUAAUUCCAGCUCCAAUAGCGUAUAUUAAAAUUGUUGCAGUUAAAAAGCUCGUAGUUGAAUUUCGGGGUCAGUAGGUUGGUCAUGCCACUGGUAUGUACUGGUCUCACUGAUUCCUCCUUCCUGAUGAGCCGUAAUGCCAUUAAUUUGGUGUUGCGAGGAAUCUGGACUGUUACUUUGAAAAAAUUAGAGUGUUUAAAGCAGGCUCACGCUUGAAUACAUUAGCAUGGAAUAAUGAAAUAGGACGUUUGAUUCUAUUUUGUUGGUUUCUAGGAUCGACGUAAUGAUUAAUAGGGAUAGUUGGGGGCAUUAGUAUUCAAUUGUCAGAGGUGAAAUUCUUGGAUUUAUUGAAGACUAACUACUGCGAAAGCAUUUGCCAAGGAUGUUUUCAUUAAUCAAGAACGAAAGUUAGGGGAUCGAAGACGAUCAGAUACCGUCGUAGUCUUAACCAUAAACUAUGCCGACUAGGGAUCGGAUGAUGUUAAUUUUUUAAUGACUCAUUCGGCGCCUUACGGGAAAC
This 549-nucleotide ribosomal RNA is filed under the name Glomus sp. VeGlo10. RNAcentral describes it as "SSU rRNA". It matches the Rfam family "Eukaryotic small subunit ribosomal RNA", at positions 548 to 1098 of the family's 1831-position model. The record is from RNAcentral. Lineage: Eukaryota; Fungi; Glomeromycota; Glomeromycetes; Glomerales; Glomeraceae.